GAUGAACGCUGGCGGCGUGCCUAAUACAUGCAAGUCGAGCGAACGGACGAGAAGCUUGCUUCUCUGAUGUUAGCGGCGGACGGGUGAGUAACACGUGGAUCACCUACCUCUAAGACUGGGAUAACUUCGGGAAACCGUAUCUAAUACCGGAUAAUAUUUUGAACCGCAUGGUUCAAAAGUGAAAGGCGGUCUUGCUGUCACUUAUAGAUGGAUCCGUGCUGCAUUAGCUAGUUGGUAAGGUAACGGCUUACCAAGGCAACGAUGCAUAGCCGACCUGAGAGGGUGAUCGGCCACACUGGAACUGAGACACGGUCCAGACUCCUACGGGAGGCAGCAGUAGGGAAUCUUGCGCAAUGGGCGAAAGCCUGACGGAGCAACGCCGCGUGAGUGAUGAAGGUCUUCGGAUCGUAAAACUCUGUUAUUAGGGAAGAACAUAUGUGGAAGUAACUGUGCACAUCUUGACGGUACCUAAUCAGAAAGCCACGGCUAACUACGUG
RNAcentral lists this ribosomal RNA (497 nucleotides) under uncultured bacterium. Its description in RNAcentral is "partial 16S ribosomal RNA". It matches the Rfam family "Bacterial small subunit ribosomal RNA", at positions 28 to 507 of the family's 1533-position model. The record is from RNAcentral.